CGCGAAGAACCUUACCUAAGCUUGACAUCCUUAUGCCGUGCUCUUAAUGGAGUAUUUCCUUUCGGGGACAUAAGAGACAGGUGGUGCAUGGUUGUCGUCAGCUCGUGUCGUGAGAUGUUGGGUUAAGUCCCGCAACGAGCGCAACCCUUGCCUUUAGUUGCCAGCAAUAAGAUGGGAACUCUAGAGGGACUGCCAGGGAUAACCUGGAGGAAGGUGGGGAUGACGUCAAAUCAUCAUGCCCCUUAUGCUUAGGGCUACACACGUGCUACAAUGGGUGGUACAGAGGGAAGCGAAGCCGUGAGGUGGAGCAAAUCCCACAAAGCCAUUCUCAGUUCGGAUUGUAGGCUGAAACUCGCCUACAUGAAGCUGGAGUUACUAGUAAUCGCAGAUCAGAAUGCUGCGGUGAAUGCGUUCCCGGGUCUUGUACACACC
RNAcentral lists this ribosomal RNA (432 nucleotides) under uncultured bacterium. Its description in RNAcentral is "bacterial SSU rRNA". It matches the Rfam family "Bacterial small subunit ribosomal RNA", at positions 960 to 1391 of the family's 1533-position model. The record is from RNAcentral.